This 841-nucleotide long non-coding RNA is filed under the name Homo sapiens (human). RNAcentral's name for it is "HSALNT0230420". The record is from RNAcentral. Lineage: Eukaryota; Metazoa; Chordata; Mammalia; Primates; Hominidae.
GCUUAAUCAGAAAAAAAGGAAAGAUAUCAUAGCUAAGAAAGAGAAAAAAAUGAAUGGAAUACAGGAAGCUCCUUCACUUCUGAAUUAGUCGUGAAGGUAGUCACAAUCUGGAGUUCAGUUUUUUUGUAUCAGGCACUUUUUCCUUAGUGAAUUUUAUUGGGUUAAAACAAAUCACAGUAUCAAAGAGACACAAAAUAAAAUGUGGGUAAAUCAACCAUCAAGGAAACAAUUAGGAAGCUCAAUUGCAGGGGUCCAGAUGAAGACAAGAGAGACAGAUGAAGAUAGACAGCUUAGACUAGGAUAGCAAACGUGAAAAUGAGGAGGAAUAGAUGGAUUUGGACUAUAUUUUGGAAGUCUACUAAAGCCUGGAGAUGAAAUACCUGAUCCUUAUUGCUGUUUCCAGAUAUUUCACCCUCUCACAUUCCUAAAAACCUAUAGCUUUUACUCUCAGGUCACUAGAAUAUACCACCUACUAUCUCUUGUUGCAUUGUCAAUUUAUCAGCUCCCCCAAAGUCACUCCUGCUUUCUCAAAAAUACUGGUUUCUGGCUCACUGUCUGUCCAACUCCAUUCCUGUCUUAAUUCUUGGCUUUUUCAGUGUAUAUGUAAAUGGUCCUUCCAACACCCUCACCUCUCUGUUCCUUCAACUCAUAUCCAGUGAUCGUGUCCUAUACUCCUCAGCUAUUCACUUCCAUGAUCAUAUAACUUUGCCAUUGUGAAACCCUCCUUAAUCUCAUUCUUUGACCUCUACCUCUUAUCUUUCCACUCCCUCUAAUACUGUGACUCCAGCAAUCCUUCAACUACAUCAGGAUUGGAUUUAGUGAAGUGGAGGCCAUUGGUGAG